Molecule: small RNA, 126 nt
Filed under: Marmota monax (woodchuck)
Lineage: Eukaryota; Metazoa; Chordata; Mammalia; Rodentia; Sciuridae
Source: RNAcentral
GCUGGGUGCAGUGGUGCCCACCUGUAAUCUCAGUGGCUCAGGAGGCUGAAACAGGAGGAUCGAGAGUUCCAAGCCAGCCUCAGCAAAAGUGAAGUGCUUAAGCAACUCAGUGACACCCUGUUUCUA